CACUGCUAUCUGUCGUACGUGCAGUGGUAUAUGAGCAGACAGGCUAACGUCCCGGCUCCAGCAAAUACCUAGAACAUGGAUGCCCUGUGUGAGGUGAGACCAGGAGCUUGCUAGAUUUGUCAGGCUAUGAGAUGUGUCACAAAUAGAUAGAAACAACACAAGGGUUCCACUUAGUAUUAAAACAUUGCUAAUCAGGUUUAUGAUGCUACCACUGCUUGGGUGAACAAUUAUUAUAACAUGGUAGUAUCUUAGCUACGCAUUAGGUUCUACUGCAUGUUUUAAUAUAUAUAUAUUGAUGUCGCUUUUAAAGUAUUUUCUCCAGUUUUGCUCAAUUGAGCAGGUGAGGUACACGUUUAGCUAUGACAAAACUGCAUAAAACGGCAUAUGAUCUGCACUAGGGCUCAGGGUCAUUUAGUGUUAGGUAAACAGGCUAGGUAGGGAGACAGUUAGAGUGCCAUUGGUUACUAGGCUAGGAACAUGUAUGGACAUAUAUAG
Molecule: non-coding RNA, 495 nt
Organism: Pelobates cultripes (western spadefoot toad)
Lineage: Eukaryota; Metazoa; Chordata; Amphibia; Anura; Pelobatidae
Source: the annotation of a GenBank genome assembly